CCUACGUGAGGCAGCAGUGAGGAAUAUUGGUCAAUGGACGGAAGUCUGAACCAGCCAUGCCGCGUGCAGGAAGACGGCUCUAUGAGUUGUAAACCGCUUUUGUACAAGGGUAAACCUGAAUACGUGUAUUUAGCUGAAAGUACUGUACGAAUAAGGAUCGGCUAACUCCGUUCCAGCAGCCGCGGUAAUACGGAGGAUCCAAGCGUUAUCCGGAUUUAUUGGGUUUAAAGGGUGCGUAGGCGGAUUGAUAAGUUAGAGGUGAAAUGUCCGAGCUUAACACGGGAACUGCCUCUAAUACUGUUGAUCUAGAGAGUAGAUGAGGUAGGCGGAAUGUAUGGUGUAGCGGUGAAAUGCUUAGAGAUCAUACAGAACACCGAUUGCGAAGGCAGCUUACCAAUCUAUAUCUGACGUUGAGGCACGAAAGCGUGGGGAGCAAACAGGAUUAGAUACCCUUGUAGUC
Molecule: ribosomal RNA, 460 nt
Filed under: uncultured bacterium
Lineage: Bacteria
Description: partial 16S ribosomal RNA
Rfam family: Bacterial small subunit ribosomal RNA
Source: RNAcentral